AUACCGCUGAAGAGUCUUAAAAUAGGACAAAACGGCCGUCCAGUGU
This 46-nucleotide non-coding RNA is filed under the name Schistosoma mattheei. Lineage: Eukaryota; Metazoa; Platyhelminthes; Trematoda; Strigeidida; Schistosomatidae. The record is from RNAcentral.